GAGAGUUAAACAGUACGUGAAAUUGUUGAAAGGGAAACGAUUGAAGUCAGUCAUACUAACGGGAAAUCAACCUCUUGAGUUUGGUCUCGUGGGUUUCGAAGAGUUUUAAAAGCCUUCGGAUUUUCGAGAUUGGGCUCUUCUGGUGUACUUUCUCGUACGGUUAGUCAACAUCGGUUUUGAAUGUCAUAAAAUGACUGGAGGAAUGUGGCUUCGAUCUCGUAUUGAAGUGUUAUAACCUUUGGUAGAUGUGAUGUUUGAGACCGAGGAUUGCAACGGAUACCCUUCUGGGCUAUUCGUCUGAUCUCUGAAACGUUGCCUUGAUGUCGAAAGCUUGCUUAUGAUGCUAGGGUAAUACGGUCAAAAGGUUAGAACGGAUUAAAUUCGUUAAGGAUGUUGACGUAAUGACUUUAAACGA
Molecule: ribosomal RNA, 415 nt
Filed under: uncultured Funneliformis
Lineage: Eukaryota; Fungi; Glomeromycota; Glomeromycetes; Glomerales; Glomeraceae
Description: partial 28S ribosomal RNA
Source: RNAcentral